CUUAGGACCGUUAUAGUUACGGCCGCCGUUUACUGGGGCUUCAAUUCGCACCUUCGCUUGCGCUAAGCACUCCUCUUAACCUUCCAGCACCGGGCAGGCGUCAGCCCCUAUACGUCACCUUACGGUUUUGCAGAGACCUGUGUUUUUGCUAAACAGUCGCCUGGGCCUAUUCACUGCGGCUCUCUCGGGCUUUCACCCUACUAGAGCACCCCUUCUCCCGAAGUUACGGGGUCAUUUUGCCGAGUUCCUUAACGAGAGUUCUCUCGCACACCUUAGGAUUCUCUCCUCGACUACCUGUGUCGGUU
Molecule: ribosomal RNA, 305 nt
Filed under: Lysinibacillus sphaericus
Lineage: Bacteria; Bacillati; Bacillota; Bacilli; Caryophanales; Bacillaceae
Description: partial 23S ribosomal RNA
Source: RNAcentral